RNAcentral lists this long non-coding RNA (232 nucleotides) under Gossypium raimondii (Peruvian cotton). RNAcentral's name for it is "long non-coding RNA (GRAI_LNC003125)". The record is from RNAcentral. Lineage: Eukaryota; Viridiplantae; Streptophyta; Magnoliopsida; Malvales; Malvaceae.
UUUCAGUUAACUUUCAAAAAAUAACAAAACAGUCACCGCUAAUCAUUUUCCAUUACAGACGUAACGGAGCUACCAUUUUCCAUCCCCCUUACAUCCCUCUCUCUCUUCCCCACCAUCCCUCCCCUUACUCUGAUUCUCUCUCCCUCCCUCCCUCUCCCUCUCUUCCCCACCAUCCCUUCUUGCACUCUGAUUCUUUCCCUCUCCCCCAUCGUUCUUUUGCUAACCCUCUCCC